Rana temporaria (common frog) is the source of this 71-nucleotide small nucleolar RNA. The record is from RefSeq and is a predicted model, not a curated record. NCBI's taxonomy places the organism in Eukaryota, Metazoa, Chordata, Amphibia, Anura, Ranidae.
CUUCCUGUGAUGAGAACUUUGUCCAGUUCUGCUACUGAUUGACUGCGAUGACACUUAUGGAUCUGAGGAAG